UGGGAACUGGGCAGGAAAAACUGGACACGGGUCAUGAAAAUUGCAUUUCUACUGGACACGCACAGGUUCAUUCAUUCAUUUUUGGGGGUGGAAGAGCUUGGGGGAGGUGGACACGACUCAUGGGGAGUUUUAUAUAGUUUUUCUUCAUUUCCUCAAUUUCUUUUCGUUUUUUUUUUUUUUUUUGGAACCUAGAGAUGCUUACCCUCUGAGCCACUCUCCGGUCACUUGGGUAUGGACCUUUGAAGCCUUUUGGACUCAAGCUUCCUGCAUCUGAGGUCAUUUAACCGUCAAUUCCAUGCCUUGAGUCCACGCAACGUCGAUUCAGCCGAGGGGCCGUGGUCCUGUGCGUCUCUCGAACCCAGAACUCCGCGUGGACAGAGGACCUGUCAAUCAGCCGUGGACGGCCAUGCAGGAACCACAUCUCUCACCUCCACACGGACCGUGGACGAGCGUCUGAUUUGCUUCGGGUCACAAGACAUGGAAGGACUUUGCAGAAAGUGGAACUGCAGUGACUCCUAUGGUGCAUUUAGACAUUCACGUGGAAACGCCCGAGAAAUGUGCAGGUCCCAGAAUGACGAGAACGUGUGAAUCCAGCCCAAAUCGUGCAUUUUAUUUCAGCCCGGCAGAGCCCCGCCAAGAUCAUCCCAAUGUGAUUCGGCCCAGAGACUGGAAAGUGUGAAAAAAUAAAAUGGUUAUUAUCAAAAGGCAUUGAGAUUUGGGGAUCUUUGUUAUGUGGCAUGACAUCUGCUGUAGCUGACUGAUACAGAAGGAGGAGCUCUUUUGAGAAUGAGGAGAAACUAGGCAAAACCAGCUCUUUCUUCUAAGGAAACCUCCCAAGAAAUUGUCUACAUGUCAGUUUGAAAAAUUAUAUUUUUUAGUAUGUAU
RNAcentral lists this long non-coding RNA (885 nucleotides) under Ictidomys tridecemlineatus (thirteen-lined ground squirrel). Its description in RNAcentral is "lncRNA (ENSSTOG00000031775.1)". Lineage: Eukaryota; Metazoa; Chordata; Mammalia; Rodentia; Sciuridae. The record is from RNAcentral.